AACGAACGCUGGCGGCAUGCCUAACACAUGCAAGUCGAACGAGACCUUCGGGUCUUGUGGCGCACGGGUGCGUAACGCGUGGGAACCUGCCCUUAGGUUCGGAAUAACUUCCCGAAAGGGGUGCUCAUACCGGAUAAUUUCUUCUGACCAAAGAUUUAUCGCCUUUGGAUGGGCCCGCGUUGGAUUAGCUAGUUGGUAGGGUAAAAGCCUACCAAGGCGACGAUCCAUAGCUGGUCUGAGAGGAUGAUCAGCCACACUGGGACUGAGACACGGCCCAGACUCCUACGGGAGGCAGCAGUGGGGAAUAUUGGACAAUGGGCGAAAGCCUGAUCCAGCAAUGCCGCGUGAGUGAUGAAGGCCUUAGGGUUGUAAAGCUCUUUUACCCGGGAUGAUAAUGACAGUACCGGGAGAAUAAGCGCCGGCUAACUCCGUG
This 433-nucleotide ribosomal RNA is filed under the name uncultured bacterium. Its description in RNAcentral is "partial 16S ribosomal RNA". It matches the Rfam family "Bacterial small subunit ribosomal RNA", at positions 29 to 507 of the family's 1533-position model. The record is from RNAcentral.